Alosa alosa (allis shad) is the source of this 505-nucleotide long non-coding RNA. RefSeq lists it as uncharacterized. The record is from RefSeq and is a predicted model, not a curated record. NCBI's taxonomy places the organism in Eukaryota, Metazoa, Chordata, Actinopteri, Clupeiformes, Clupeidae. The transcript is spliced from 3 exons.
GCAGUUACACCACCAAUGUCUUGUAUAAGAUGAGACUUCACCUGGAUAACCACAUGCAGCUUGCUGUGCGAUUCAAAGGGGUUUUCAUCUGUAAAUGUAGCCGGGCUUGCCGGACGUCUGCCCAUUUUCACUGCAUUCAGUGCAAUGCCACAAUCAUAUGAAAGGACCAGUUUCUACUGCAUAUUAACAGUCACCAAUCACCACCCCGUGCACCAGCCGCCACCAUCACACAGUCUCCAGGUCCUGCACCAGCCGCCACCAUCACACAGUCUCCAGCCUCUGCACCAGCUGCCACCAUCACACAGUCUCCAGGUCCUGCACCAGCCGCCACCAUCACACAGUCUCCAGCCUCCGCAGUUCCACCGCCUCCACCUCCUCUCAUUCGCAAGAACAGAGAAACAGUAAUGUGUCCACACUGUAGUCAAGUUGUCAACAGGAGGAAUGUGCGAGUACAUCUCCUGAGAAAAAAAAGGUGGAGGAAAUUUAAACCUACCCUGCCUACUGA